This 120-nucleotide ribosomal RNA is filed under the name Phaseolus vulgaris (common bean). Lineage: Eukaryota; Viridiplantae; Streptophyta; Magnoliopsida; Fabales; Fabaceae. The record is from RNAcentral.
AGGUGCGAUCAUACCAGCACUAAUGCACCGGAUCCCAUCAGAACUCCGCAGUCAAGCGUGCUUGGGCGAGAGUAGUACUAGGAUGGGUGACCUCCUGGCGAAGUCCUCGUGUUGCCACUU